This is a transfer RNA of Coccidioides immitis H538.4, 71 nucleotides long. It matches the Rfam family "tRNA". Rfam says of the family: Transfer RNA (tRNA) molecules are approximately 80 nucleotides in length. Their secondary structure includes four short double-helical elements and three loops (D, anti-codon, and T loops). Further hydrogen bonds mediate the characteristic L-shaped molecular structure. tRNAs have two regions of fundamental functional importance: the anti-codon, which is responsible for specific mRNA codon recognition, and the 3' end, to which the tRNAs corresponding amino acid is attached (by aminoacyl-tRNA synthetases). tRNAs cope with the degeneracy of the genetic code in two manners: having more than one tRNA (with a specific anti-codon) for a particular amino acid; and 'wobble' base-pairing, i.e. permitting non-standard base-pairing at the 3rd anti-codon position. The record is from Rfam. Lineage: Eukaryota; Fungi; Ascomycota; Eurotiomycetes; Onygenales; Onygenaceae.
AAGAGUAUAGUUUAAAGGUAAAAUUGGAAGCUUCAAACUUCAAGAUCUCAGUUCAAUUCUGAGUGCUCUUG